This 1460-nucleotide long non-coding RNA is filed under the name Cyanistes caeruleus (blue tit). RNAcentral's name for it is "lncRNA (ENSCCEG00000008628.1)". The record is from RNAcentral. Lineage: Eukaryota; Metazoa; Chordata; Aves; Passeriformes; Paridae.
AUUACAGUACUUCAGAAGACUUUCUGAACUUGCCAGGCAACCCUCCCCCUAGACUUUGGGGACAGAGGAGCUUAAAUUUAUAUUUCCAGUGUCACACAAGGAGAAAGAAUGGAGUUGGCUGCUUUGUCCAAGUAAUGAAAAUCAAUGCUGUGUUGUUCUUGGAAGGAGCGCUCAAAAGGAAAGCCUGGCAUAUAGAUCUUGGUUUAGAGACAGAUUUUGCCUAGGAAGACUGUGCCCAGGGGAAGAUACAGGAAGAAGGAGAAGAGGUGAUGCUACAAGCUUCCUGACCUCCAGAGUGGGACUGAAGCUUUGUAACAAGAUUUAUCUGGAAAAUGUGACUGACAGGAGCAGCUUACUCACCAUUAGAUAAGUAUUGGAGAUGACUCAUGCUGGAGUAUUGGUAGCUGUGCUGCUGAGAUGGAUAUCCUGUUGUAUAACUGCUAUAGUGUGAUGCCAAGAACCAGGAACCUUAAUUUCACUAUCCAGGCUUUUCUGUGAAAGUGCUUUGGGUCUUUGGCACCUUUUCUCCUUGGUUUGUCCAUCUAAAGGGCUCACAAGGGGAGGUUUUGCUUCCCCCAGUGGGGUACAGGGUAUGGGGCAGCUCAUGUUACCUUGAAAUGAAAGCUAAUUGAAAGGCUGUAGCUUUAUUGCUGUUCUUCAGGACGUGCAAUAUUUGUCUUUUUCAUAGAUGUCAUUAGCAUCUUUCUUCGAUUCUUUGGUUUUUUUUGUUUUGUUUGUGUUUUUUCAGAGCCAUUAAACCCUUUCUUCAGUGGAACAAACCAGAAGGUCCAGAAACAGAUUUUCUAACUAUGGAAGCUCUUCUGAGGAGCCACAUUAUGUGCUGCUGCCCCUGGGAUGGGAUGCAGAGCAAGGAGUGAAGAAGAGCUGUGAUGUGCUACUGAAAAUUGCUUUAGACAACAGAUGCUAUUUCCUGUUAGAGAUGCUUUAUAUGCAAAUCAAAGUGGUACAACAAGAAAAAAGUCCUGAAAGCAAUCACACCGAUAAACUCAGCCCACUGGGGAAUUCCUGCUUAUCAUUUAUCUUUUCUUUUUUCAGUUCUGUGCAAGAUACUUCUUUGCCUGUGCUUUCUUACAGUCUUUAAUGUUUGUCCUGCCAGACCUCUUGCUUAUGGACUACAGUGCUUGCAUUUUGCAGGGCUCUAUGUCAGCCUGCACAAACAAAAGGCAGUAAGUGCUGGAAAUUGGGGUUAACAGUCCCUGUGUUUCAGCUUGAUCUUGCAUUGAUCUGGUGCUUUCUGAAGUUCAAGCCAGACAUGAGCCUCACACUACAGAUUGCCAUGUGCCUGUUGUGAUGAUCUGCUUGGAAAGGUGAUCCCAGAAACCUCAGGAAUGAAAAAAAAAGAGAGCUAAAAAACAAAAAGAAGCCAGCAAAAAAAUUUACCUAGUAACUUAAACAGGAGCAGGAUUUGACCUGAGGCACCUCAGGAGAUGGUGUGGGCA